AGAGUUUGAUCCUGGCUCAGAACGAACGCUGGCGGCAGGCUUAACACAUGCAAGUCGAACGCCCCGCAAGGGGAGUGGCAGACGGGUGAGUAACGCGUGGGAAUCUACCUAGUUCUACGGAACAACACAGGGAAACUUGUGCUAAUACCGUAUACGCCCUACGGGGGAAAGAUUUAUCGGAAUUAGAUGAGCCCGCGUAAGAUUAGCUAGUUGGUGGGGUAAUGGCCUACCAAGGCGACGAUCUUUAGCUGGUCUGAGAGGAUGAUCAGCCACACUGGGACUGAGACACGGCCCAGACUCCUACGGGAGGCAGCAGUGGGGAAUAUUGGACAAUGGGCGCAAGCCUGAUCCAGCCAUGCCGCGUGAGUGAUGAAGGCCUUAGGGUUGCAAAGCUCUUUCAGUGGGGAAGAUAAUGACGGUACCCACAGAAGAAGCCCCGGCUAACUUCGUG
Molecule: ribosomal RNA, 451 nt
Filed under: uncultured Devosia sp.
Lineage: Bacteria; Pseudomonadati; Pseudomonadota; Alphaproteobacteria; Hyphomicrobiales; Devosiaceae
Description: bacterial SSU rRNA
Rfam family: Bacterial small subunit ribosomal RNA
Source: RNAcentral